Molecule: unclassified non-coding RNA, 380 nt
Filed under: uncultured Rickettsiaceae bacterium
Lineage: Bacteria; Pseudomonadati; Pseudomonadota; Alphaproteobacteria; Rickettsiales; Rickettsiaceae
Description: contains 16S-23S intergenic spacer region
Source: RNAcentral
UCCGGCUUAUCACCGGCAGUUUCCUUAUAGUUCCCGGCAUUACCCGCUGGCAAAUAAGAAUGAGGGUUGCGCUCGUUGCGGGACUUAACCCAACAUCUCACGACACGAGCUGACGACAGCCAUGCAACACCUGUGUGUGGUCCAGCCGAACUGAAGGGAUGUAUCUCUACUUCCCGCGACCACCAUGUCAAGGGUUGGUAAGGUUUUUCGCGUAACAUCGAAUUAAACCGCAUGCUCCACCGCUUGUGCGAGCCCCCGUCAAUUCCUUUGAGUUUUAAUCUUGCGACCGUACUCCCCAGGCGGAGUGUUUAACGCGUUAGCUGUGAAACCGAGAGAUAAUCUCCCGAUAUCUAACACUCAUCGUUUAGGGCGUGGACUAC